RNAcentral lists this ribosomal RNA (497 nucleotides) under uncultured bacterium. Its description in RNAcentral is "partial 16S ribosomal RNA". It matches the Rfam family "Bacterial small subunit ribosomal RNA", at positions 28 to 507 of the family's 1533-position model. The record is from RNAcentral.
GAUGAACGCUGGCGGCGUGCCUAAUACAUGCAAGUCGAGCGAACGGACGAGAAGCUUGCUUCUCUGAUGUUAGCGGCGGACGGGUGAGUAACACGUGGAUAACCUACCUAUAAGACUGGGAUAACUUCGGGAAACCGGAGCUAAUACCGGAUAAUAUUUUGAACCGCAUGGUUCAAAAGUGAAAGACGGUCUUGCUGUCACUUAUAGAUGGAUCCGCGCUGCAUUAGCUAGUUGGUGAGGUAACGGCUUACCAAGGCAACGAUGCAUAGCCGACCUGAGAGGGUGAUCGGCCACACUGGAGCUGAGACACGGUCCGGGCUCCUACGGGAGGCAGCAGUAGGGAAUCUUCCGCAAUGGGCGAAAGCCUGACGGAGCAACGCCGCGUGAGUGAUGAAGGUCUUCGGAUCGUAAAACUCUGUUAUUAGGGAAGAACAUAUGUGUAAGUAACUGUGCACAUCUUGACGGUACCUAAUCAGAAAGCCACGGCUAACUACGUG